UUCGCAAUGCCCGAAAGGGUGACGAAGCGACGCCGCGUGUGGGAAGAAGGCCUUCGGGUUGUAAACCACUGUCGGGAGUUAAGAAAUGCAAGGAUAUUAAUAGUGUCUUUGUUUGACUAAGGCUCCGGAGGAAGCCACGGCUAACUCUGUGCCAGCAGCCGCGGUAAUACAGAGGCGGCAAGCGUUGUUCGGAAUUAUUGGGCGUAAAGAGCACGUAGGCGGCUAUGUAAGUCGGUUGUGAAAGCCUUCCGCUCAACGGAAGAACAGCAUCCGAUACUACAUGGCUUGAGUGUGGGAGGGGAGAGUGGAACUUCUGGUGGAGCGGUGAAAUGCGUACAUAUCAGAAGGAACACCGGCGGCCAAGGCGACUCUCUGGUCCUUAACUGAUCCUGAGUGUGCGAAAGCUAGGGGAGCCUACGGGAUUAGAUACCCCGGUAGUCCUACCCGUAAACGAUGGGCACUAAGUAGAGGGGUUUU
This 477-nucleotide ribosomal RNA is filed under the name uncultured bacterium. Its description in RNAcentral is "bacterial SSU rRNA". It matches the Rfam family "Bacterial small subunit ribosomal RNA", at positions 365 to 832 of the family's 1533-position model. The record is from RNAcentral.